GAUGAACGCUGGCGGCGUGCCUAAUACAUGCAAGUCGAGCGAACAGACGAGGAGCUUGCUCCUCUGACGUUAGCGGCGGACGGGUGAGUAACACGUGGAUAACCUACCUAUAAGACUGGGAUAACUUCGGGAAACCGGAGCUAAUACCGGAUAACAUGUUGAACCGCAUGGUUCAACAGUGAAAGACGGUCUUGCUGUCACUUAUAGAUGGAUCCGCGCCGCAUUAGCUAGUUGGUAAGGUAACGGCUUACCAAGGCAACGAUGCGUAGCCGACCUGAGAGGGUGAUCGGCCCCACUGGAACUGAGACACGGUCCAGACUCCUACGGGAGGCAGCAGUAGGGAAUCUUCCGCAAUGGGCGAAAUCCUGACGGAGCAACGCCGCGUGAGUGAAGAAGGUCUUCGGAUCGUAAAACUCUGUUAUUAGGGAAGAACAAAUGUGUAAGUAACUAUGCACGUCUUGACGGUACCUAAUCAGAAAGCCACGGCUAACUACGUG
RNAcentral lists this ribosomal RNA (497 nucleotides) under uncultured bacterium. Its description in RNAcentral is "partial 16S ribosomal RNA". It matches the Rfam family "Bacterial small subunit ribosomal RNA", at positions 28 to 507 of the family's 1533-position model. The record is from RNAcentral.